UAUUAUUUCAUGAUGAUUGCAACAUGUUUGUGGCUUUUUAGUUGGGUUCUUUUGUGGAGUCUCUCUCCUUCUCUCAGAGAUUGGGCGGCUCCUCCCAAACCUGCACCUUCACACCCUCACACCUGCACCUGAUCUCUGCAAUCACCACCUGCAUUUAAGCCCUGCUGGGAGGCUUCUCCAGUGCCAGAUUAUUCCUGCAUCUGAAGUGUGCCUCCACGAGCCCCCAGUGCUUUUUCCCUAUCGCUGCCACACUGCCUCACUCUCUACCUGGAUUUAUUCACAAGCCUCCACCUCUAGUCCUCACGCCUUGGACCCUGGAUCCCUUCCCCGCUCCCUUUGUUUCAUACAAUAAAUUCACUGAACUGCG
This is a long non-coding RNA of Notolabrus celidotus (New Zealand spotty), 367 nucleotides long. RefSeq lists it as uncharacterized. Lineage: Eukaryota; Metazoa; Chordata; Actinopteri; Labriformes; Labridae. The record is from RefSeq and is a predicted model, not a curated record. The transcript has 2 exons.